AUGCUACAAAUAUCUCCUUUCCACGCAUCUCAAAAUUUGCUUAACACGAUAACAUUUAUUUUGAAUUCUUCCUUGUCUACUUCUCUACGUCGGGCCUCAUCUUUCUCUGGUCAUAACAAUAGAAUAACCCUAUACAUAAUAUUUCGAUGAUAAAUAAGUUUACACUUUAGACCCUAUAACAGAUACUAAGCAUGUGAUCCGUUUCAACGAGACCAUCCCAAACCUGCAGUGCCAACAUUUCCGACUGGUUGAAUAGGUUCCACCAAGCCCUUCGUAGAGCUUCCAAGCCCCUCCCCCUGCAUAAAUCAUAUAAAGUAGUUACAAUCAUAAUCCCAAACCAUUCGACAAAUAUGUGAUACGACUCGGCGUUGUUCUUCAUGGCAUAAUGGCGUGAUGAGAAUGGCUCCUAAACAAGGUACGACUAUUUUAUGAUGGGUGUAAUCAUAGAUUGUCGUAAAACUCAUUUUAUGAUUUUUGAUAACUGACGAUGGAAAUCUUAUUCUUUUGUUGGUCGAUGAAAAUUAAACUUUUAUUUUACAUAGGUAGGGGGUUGUGUGGCUCAUUUCAAGACCUACUACAUUACCAAAUUCAAAUACACCUGUCUUCCUCAUGGUGUGGCGCCUUUUGAGCUAUAAGUGUGUGGCAUAGGAAAAAUAAAGUAAUUUGAUGAUAAGUAUGAAGAUACCUCCUUCCAACCCAUGCUUUUCAGAAGUUUUCUGGCAUAACUACCUGCUCCAAAUGACAUCUCCAAGGCCUCUGAUGCAGCUUCUUGAGGACAACCAGCAUCAGGUGAAGAUGGCGAAUUAUAAACAUCAGGCAGAUUCUUCUGUCCUGGACCCAUGCCGAAGCCACCAUGCAAUAUUCUUCUUUCAGCGGCCCUAUCUCUGUAUUGAUGUUUAAUUUGCUGUCAGAGCAAACAAAAAACGAGUUGAAGGUUAACCGAUUCUGGAUAUAUCCUUAGAUGUGGUCAAUUAUUCUAUAGAAAGGGUGAUCAUGUAAGAAAGGAAAGACAAGUUUAGAGCCUUUAUCUCUAUGUUGUUAUAUUCUCUCUUUCCUAUUCGAUCCAGUCAACUUCCAUAACCCACAACUCUUACUGAAGUGGUCACUUUCCACUCAAAUAUGUUAUGAGAAAGGAAAAUUAUAAGUCAUAGCAUGUGUUACAUUACUUUCAUCCUAUGUCCUUUCUCAAGAAGUUGGGCAUCCAUUUAUCUACUAUAAAAUUAAGAAAAAUGCAGCUAUUUGUUUGAUUUCAACAUCAGACUACACACCUUAGAUACAGAGGGCUGACUUGGUAAUGCAGACAAAUCCUUCUCUACAGGGAUAUCAUCUGAAACUGAAGCAGAGCUUUCACUGGAUUUGGAGAGCUGAGUGAUUUUUCUAUUAGGUGAUAGCUGGGGAAAAUCCCAAUGUUUUGUUGGAUUUGAGGAAUCAUAAGUUGAUAAUGAAGCCAUGUAUUUUGCACUAGGAUUUCGCAAUCUGUACACUUGUCCUGUUGAAAGAACAUGAUAAGCAUAUGUAUUUAUCCCAGAGUAUUCUAGCUCUAUCAUUCUACUCAAAAUUCCCAUACUUCUUCAUUUUAAAACUACACACUCAUCCAUGAGAAUGAAAUUAAUGACAGGUUGUAUAGGAAAGGCAUACAAGCAAGAAAGUUUGUAAUUUUUUGAAUUACAUGUUAGUAAAUGCCUCCAUUAUCACUUUUUUAAUACUUACAUCUCCUUAGAAAUGACAACAAAA
Molecule: long non-coding RNA, 1734 nt
Filed under: Vigna radiata
Lineage: Eukaryota; Viridiplantae; Streptophyta; Magnoliopsida; Fabales; Fabaceae
Description: long non-coding RNA (VRAD_LNC003411)
Source: RNAcentral